AUGUGCUACCAGGCGUCGGAGCUCACAAUGACCAGCGUGGGCUAUGCCGUGGCCAACAUCGACCUGAUGCUGGACGGAGGCCAGAACUGGACACUGCCUGGCGCCAGCUCGCUCGUGCAGGUGAACGACCAGACGGUGUGCUUCGCGUUCGUUCAGACGGAUUCGUCGGUGCCGGCACAUGCUGAGUCGCCGGCGGUGAUCCUCGGGGGGCACCAGUUGGAGAACAACCUGCUAAUAUUCGAUCUGGAGAAGGACACGUUCGGGUUCAGUGGGCUGCUCCUCGGCGUCGGCACUACCUGCAGCAACUUCGACUUCAGCAUGGGGAGUUCUUAG
This 333-nucleotide ribosomal RNA is filed under the name Triticum aestivum (bread wheat). RNAcentral describes it as "partial small subunit ribosomal RNA". Lineage: Eukaryota; Viridiplantae; Streptophyta; Magnoliopsida; Poales; Poaceae. The record is from RNAcentral.